GACAGAGGUGCCAAGCGUUAGGCGGAAUCACUGGGCUUAAAGCGUGUGUAGGCGGAUGCCUAAGUACCUUGUGAAAUCCCACGGCUCAACCGUGGAACUGCUGGGUAUACUGGGCGUCUUGGGUCAUCUAGGGGCUGCCGGAACAAAUGGUGGAGCGGUGAAAUGCGUAGAUAUCAUUUGGAACGCCAACGGCGAAAGCAGGCAGCUGGGGAUGCACCGACGCUGAGACACGAAAGCCAGGGGAGCGAACGGG
RNAcentral lists this ribosomal RNA (253 nucleotides) under uncultured bacterium. RNAcentral describes it as "partial 16S ribosomal RNA". It matches the Rfam family "Bacterial small subunit ribosomal RNA", at positions 524 to 776 of the family's 1533-position model. The record is from RNAcentral.